This 514-nucleotide ribosomal RNA is filed under the name uncultured microorganism. RNAcentral's name for it is "bacterial SSU rRNA". It matches the Rfam family "Bacterial small subunit ribosomal RNA", at positions 9 to 490 of the family's 1533-position model. The record is from RNAcentral.
GAGUUUGAUCGUGGCUCAGGACGAACGCUGGCGGUAUGCCUAAUACAUGCAAGUCGAGCGCAGGAAGCAGACUGAAGCCUUCGGGUGGAUGUCUGUGGAAUGAGCGGCGGAUGGGUGAGUAUCACGUGGGUAACCUGCCUGUAAGCUUGGGGAUAACUCCGGGAAACCGGUGCUAAUACCAGAUAAGAUUUCCGUUCGCAUGAACGGAAAAUGAAAGGCGGCUUUUGCUGUCACUUACAGAUGGACCCGCGUCGCAUUAGCUAGUUGGUGGGGUAAAGGCUCACCAAAGCAACGAUGCGUAGCCGACCUGAGAGGGUGAUCGGCCACACUGGGACUGAGACACGGCCCAGACUCCUACGGGAGGCAGCAGUAGGGAAUCUUCCGCAAUGGACGAAAGUCUGACGGAGCAAUACCGCGUGAGUGAUGAAGGUCUUCGGAUCGUAAAACUCUGUUGUUAAGGAAGAACAAGUGCUAAUCUAAUACAUUAGUGCCCUGACGGUACCUAACCAGAAAG